Molecule: ribosomal RNA, 506 nt
Filed under: uncultured bacterium
Lineage: Bacteria
Description: bacterial SSU rRNA
Rfam family: Bacterial small subunit ribosomal RNA
Source: RNAcentral
GCCGCGUGAGGGAUGACGGCCUUCGGGUUGUAAACCUCUUUCAGCAGGGACGAAGCGAAAGUGACUGUACCUGCAGAAGAAGCGCCGGCUAACUACGUGCCAGCAGCCGCGGUAAUACGUAGGGCGCAAGCGUUGUCCGGAUUUAUUGGGCGUAAAGAGUUCGUAGGCGGUCUGUCGCGUCGGAAGUGAAAACCCGGAGCUCAACUCCGGGCCUGCUUUCGAUACGGGCAGACUUGAGUGUUGCAGGGGAGACUGGAAUUCCUGGUGUAGCGGUGGAAUGCGCAGAUAUCAGGAGGAACACCGGUGGCGAAGGCGGGUCUCUGGGCAACAACUGACGCUGAGGAACGAAAGCGUGGGGAGCGAACAGGAUUAGAUACCCUGGUAGUCCACGCUGUAAACGGUGGGCACUAGGUGUGGGGACCAUUCCACGGUCUCUGCGCCGCAGCUAACGCAUUAAGUGCCCCGCCUGGGGGAGUACGGCCGCAAGGCUAAAACUCAAAGGAAUU